ACUCCUACGGGAGGCAGCAGUGGGGAAUUUUGGACAAUGGGCGCAAGCCUGAUCCACCAAUGCCGCGUGAGUGAAGAAGGCCUUCGGGUUGUAAAGCUCUUUCAGUCGAGAAGAAAAGACUGCAGUGAAUAACUGCAGUUCAUGACGGUAUCGACAGAAGAAGCACCGGCUAACUACGUGCCAGCAGCCGCGGUAAU
This 197-nucleotide ribosomal RNA is filed under the name uncultured beta proteobacterium. RNAcentral describes it as "partial 16S ribosomal RNA". It matches the Rfam family "Bacterial small subunit ribosomal RNA", at positions 335 to 524 of the family's 1533-position model. Lineage: Bacteria; Pseudomonadati; Pseudomonadota; Betaproteobacteria. The record is from RNAcentral.